AACAUCUCUUAACCUCCCUUCCAGCUAGCCGUAUAAAUGUCCCUCCUCCAUCCUGCUAAGCGUCUCCGGCUAUCUCACCUCCAAUCCACUCCCCGUCGUCGCCGUCAUGCCUCCGCCGCCUUCUCGACAAAACCCUCACCCCAAAAGCAACGAACAUGGCUGCGAGUUACAAUAGUCACAGCGGUAGCCGCUGCCAUUGGCGCCUACACUCGAUAUGAAGCGGACUCAGGCACCGCAACCCUAAACCCAUACACUUUCACACAAUAUGAGCUGGUCUCCAAAAUCCCUGUCUCCUCCAGCAGCAGCAUCUUCACCCUGCGCCCAGUGAAGUUGGGGGAUAAUGACACGGUAUGCAAAGAGGCCUGGCGGAGGGGUUUAUGGAGUGUCCAGUUCAAGCAGCCACAGCUAC
Molecule: small RNA, 409 nt
Filed under: Histoplasma ohiense
Lineage: Eukaryota; Fungi; Ascomycota; Eurotiomycetes; Onygenales; Ajellomycetaceae
Description: hypothetical lncRNA
Source: RNAcentral